GAUGAACGCUGGCGGCGUGCCUAAUACAUGCAAGUCGAGCGAACAGACGAGGAGCUUGCUCCUCUGACGUUAGCGGCGGACGGGUGAGUAACACGUGGAUAACCUACCUAUAAGACUGGGAUAACUUCGGGAAACCGGAGCUAAUACCGGAUAAUAUAUUGAACCGCAUGGUUCAAUAGUGAAAGACGGUUUUGCUGUCACUUAUAGAUGGAUCCGCGCCGCAUUAGCUAGUUGGUAAGGUAACGGCUUACCAAGGCAACGAUGCGUAGCCGACCUGAGAGGGGGAUCGGCCACACUGGAACUGAGACACGGUCCAGACUCCUACGGGAGGCAGCAGGAGGGAAUCUUCCGCAAUGGGCGAAAGCCUGACGGAGCAACGCCGCGUGAGUGAGGAAGGUCUUCGGAUCGUAAAACGCUGUUAUUAGGGAAGAACAAAUGUGUAAGUAACUAUGCACGUCUGGACGGUACCUAAUCAGAAAGCCACGGCUAACUACGU
RNAcentral lists this ribosomal RNA (496 nucleotides) under uncultured bacterium. Its description in RNAcentral is "partial 16S ribosomal RNA". It matches the Rfam family "Bacterial small subunit ribosomal RNA", at positions 28 to 506 of the family's 1533-position model. The record is from RNAcentral.